CAACAUCGAGGUCGCAAUCUUUUUUAUCGAUAUGAACUCUCCAAAAAAAUUACGCUGUUAUCCCUAAAGUAACUUAAAUUUUUAAUCAUUAUUAAUGGAUCAAUUAUUCAUAAAUUAAUGGUUUUAAAAAUUAAAAGUUUUUUAAAUUUUAAUAUCACCCCAAUAAAAUAUUUUAAUUUAUUAUAAUAAAAAUAAUCUUUAUAAUUAAAAUAAACAAAAUAUAAAGAUUUAUAGGGUCUUCUCGUCUUUUAAAUUUAUUUUAGCUUUUUGACUAAAAAAUAAAAUUCUAUAAAAAAUUUAAAUGAAACAGUUAAUAUUUCGUCCAACCAUUCAUUCCAGCCUUCAAUUAAAAGACUAAUGAUUAUGCUACCUUUGCACAGUUAGAAUACUGCGGCCAUUUAAAAUUUUCAGUGGGCAGGU
Molecule: ribosomal RNA, 420 nt
Filed under: Drosophila kraussi
Lineage: Eukaryota; Metazoa; Arthropoda; Insecta; Diptera; Drosophilidae
Description: partial 16S ribosomal RNA
Source: RNAcentral